Molecule: microRNA precursor, 70 nt
Organism: Bison bison bison
Lineage: Eukaryota; Metazoa; Chordata; Mammalia; Artiodactyla; Bovidae
Source: Ensembl
GCAUGGAGGAUCUGUCUAAUCUCAGAGGGCAUUUUUGAGCAUUUCCUCUGAUGAAGACAGCCCUGCUUGC